This 463-nucleotide ribosomal RNA is filed under the name uncultured bacterium. Its description in RNAcentral is "partial 16S ribosomal RNA". It matches the Rfam family "Bacterial small subunit ribosomal RNA", at positions 28 to 506 of the family's 1533-position model. The record is from RNAcentral.
GACGAACGCUGGCGGCGUGCUUAACACAUGCAAGUCGAACGGAAAGGCCCUGCUUGCAGGGUACUCGAGUGGCGAACGGGUGAGUAACACGUGGGUGAUCUGCCCUGCACUUCGGGAUAAGCCUGGGAAACUGGGUCUAAUACCGGAUAGGAGCCAUUUUUAGUGUGAUGGUUGGAAAGUUUUUUCGGUGUAGGAUGGGCUCGGGGCCUAUCAGCUUGUUGGUGGGGUAAUGGCCUACCAAGGCGGCGACGGGUAGCCGGCCUGAGAGGGUGGACGGCCACAUUGGGCCUGAGAUACGGCCCAGACUCCUACGGGAGGCAGGAGUGGGGAAUAUUGCAAAAUGGGCGCAAGCCUGAUGCAGCGACGCCGGGUGGGGGAUGACGGCCUUCGGGUUGUAAACGCCUUUCGCUAGGGACGAAGCUUUUGGGACGGUACCGAGAUAAGAAGCACGGGCUAACUACGU